Molecule: unclassified non-coding RNA, 549 nt
Filed under: Hevea brasiliensis (rubber tree)
Lineage: Eukaryota; Viridiplantae; Streptophyta; Magnoliopsida; Malpighiales; Euphorbiaceae
Source: RNAcentral
GCACCAAAUUGGAGGGAGUCGAGAGUUAGGGACGGAGCGAGAGAAGAUGAGCUACGUAUUAACGACGCUGACGAAGAAGAAGGAAAUAGACUCUAUAAUCAGAGAGACCAUCGACAAGGUUCUCGUCCUCCGCUUUGGCCGUGCAUCCGACGCCGGCUGCCUUCACCUCGAUGACCUGCUAUCGAAAUCUGCUCGAGAGGUUUCCAAAUUCGCAAAUAUAGCUUUAGUAGAUAUAGACUCGGAGGAUGUUCAAGUUUACAUCAAAUAUUUCGACAUUUCUUUGAUUCCUUCUACCAUUUUUUUCUUCAAUGCUCAUCAUAUGAAGAUGGAUUCCGGGACUGCUGAUCAUACUAAAUGGAUUGGUGCAUUUCACACGAAACAAGAUUUCAUUGAUGUAGUGGAGGCUAUAUUUAGAGGGGCAAUGAAAGGCAAAAUGAUUGUGAAUUGUCCUCUGCCCCAAGAGCGAAUACCAAAAUAUCAGUUGUUAUACAAGGACUUGUAAAGCUGUAAAAUGUUGCCUUCUUUUGUUUGGAGACUUCCAAUCAAUUC